Molecule: non-coding RNA, 45 nt
Filed under: Schistosoma haematobium
Lineage: Eukaryota; Metazoa; Platyhelminthes; Trematoda; Strigeidida; Schistosomatidae
Source: RNAcentral
AUUCCGCUGACGAGUUCGAAAUAAGACGAAAUGCAUGUCCUGGAU